ACAUCAGAGGAGCUGUCAUAAACACCUCAUGUUGAUUCCACCCGUAAUCCGCGCAGAUGACAACCGGUGCAGUUUAAAAGGAAAACUUAAUACAUUUCACGAUUAUUUAUGAAUUUUACUUUGUAAUGUAUUUGGAAGUUUUUGAUAAGACUUGCGAGGGAAAAAUAAUUUUAGGUGUGUACGUGGGAUACAUUUAUCGCAUCAUAUAGAUAGGCCCAAUUUGCUCUUUAAGUAGGCACCUAAUAAAGGCUACCGGCUCUUAAUACCCAUUCUGAGGAGUGAAAAUAACAACGCGAUUCUAGUUAUGUUUGCUCCAAGUCGUUUGGCUCCUAUCAACAUAAUUAACUGACUUAUUCACAAAUUGGAAUUAAAUAAGUACCUAGACAAAUAUAUGUUAACGGCACCAAAAUUUUGAGUAUUUUUGAUAUUUUACCGACACCUGUAAAAUUUCUACCGCUUUACGCUUAAAAAGUUGAAUGUCCAAUUCGUCCUUUACGUUUUCUAUGUAUUUAAUGAAAGUUACUGCAAUUGGUUUUAAUAUUAUUAACCAAUUAAACCUGUGGUUUUUUUGCUCGCCACUUAUUUUCAAUGUAACAAAUAUCAAUGAAUAAUUAAACUUAAGCAGCUCUUUUGCUCUUGUUUAUGGUAAAAUGUUGCCAGCGUUUAAAAACUGAUGGUAAAUACUUGUUUUACAGGAUUUAUCUAACCAUCCCAUUACUGGUGCGUUCCAUUAUAGGAGUGUUUACUAUAGGAAAACUACUACCAAAAUUUGCUUCCCACUAAAAAGCUUCUAUUACUAAAUUAUUCCCUUAAAAUUAACCCUUCAACAACUAUUUGUGACGUUCUAAUGAAAUCAAAUUUCUCCCACAGGGGCUUUCUCGGGUGUGACACACAUACAAACAGCUCUCCCACAAUCACGUAAGUAUUUACCAUGUUUUUCGAAUCUCCGUUCCUAUCUUCCUAUAUCGAGCUCGGUCGUGACUUGCAUGGAUUCCGGCUUAUUAGAUAUAUUUAGUGGGAGUUGGACUCUCUGAAUGUAGAUUAAAACACGCAUUUCCAUAAUGUCUCAGACAAAGCGACGCCCCGCUUAAGUCCUCUCUGGAGUAUCUUUUGGUGGGAUUGAAGAAAUUCGAUUGAAUUGGAAAUCGUUUCUAAACGAAUAAGUUUGGAAGCGAAUGGAAAAAUAGUAACGACCGAUCUGGCCUAUUGGAUAAUGGCCCUGCCUAUGAAGCCGAUGGUCCUGGGUUCGAAUCCUGGUAAGGUCAUGUAUUUGUGUGAUAAGCACAGAUAUUUGUUCCUGAGUCAUGGAUGUUUUCUAUGUAAAUAUGUAUUCAAGUAUUUGUAUAUUAUAUAUGUCAUUGUCCUGAGUACCCACAACGCAAGCCUAGUUGAGCUUAUCCAAGGACUUAGUCAAUUUGUGUAAGAAUGUCACAAUAUAAUAUUAAAAAAAUGCACUGAAAUAAAUGUUUACUUAGGUACCUUACACUUACACAAAAAUUGGGACUAAUAUGUGUUUCACCAGCCAACUGGUCUGUUUGUAACAAAAAAAUCGGUUUUAGGAUAUUGAUCAAAAUUUGUUUCUCUAUUACUUUCCUCUUAAGUCCAGGUAUUUUUUGAAUUACUCAAUAAGUUCUGCUAAUUAUUUUUUCAGUGUGGGCUGGUUUUAUACAAAUCACACUGUAAUGAUAUACGAGUUCAUUUGAGAUGAAAAUCGCUUUAGGACUGAGAGAAACCUACAAAAUUAAAUACACAAAUUUGUUAUGAGACCACAAUUGAAAGCAGGUAUUCUGAUUUAAAUAUAAAAGUAUUUGUAUCGGUUAACAUGAUAAUGUAAUGCCAAAGACAUUGGGUAACAUAACAUGCACAUAAAUAAAAAUAAAGACAAUUCAGAACCUCUCAACGUUAUCAUGAAACCAGACAAACUGCAAACAACAAACAACUGCAACAACUGAAAUUCUCAAACAAAUGACUGUUGUCUACAUGCAUAAUACAUUUCAACAUUCCAAAAAGGUACUCAAAAUUAGUACCAAGAAAUAAAUACUAGCUUGUUUUAUACGUCUUUGUGCCAAAACUGCUCUCUCGUUUAUUGCCCGUACCAGGGGACCAGGAGAUGGAGGAACAAAGGUAUUUAUCUAAACAGCUGGAGUUUGCGGUUGCAUUCACCUGCAGGCUUUAGACUAGUUGAGCUGAAGGUAUUGUGCAGAUACAUGUGUCGGCUCGGUUCCAACAACACUCGUAAAUUAUAGGCUACAUGUAGACUAAGUGAUGAGCGGCGGCGAGUAUGUGUUGGAAUUUAUUUGUGCCAGACAACAAUUAUGAUAUAUUAGUAGGAUAUUUCAUGAGGAAUGAGGAUGCAGGAUAAAUGAUAAAAAUAGUACCUAUUGUGUAAUAUUGUCUUUGGUUACCGCGAUAGUGAUUCAUGAAAUAAAACUAUUUAGACCGAUAAUAUGACGUAUCUUUAAAAUAUGUACUUAAAUCCCGACGUUUUGAACCCUUUACAGCGUUCGUGGUCAACGGAUGACGGGGUAUACGCGAUAUAAACCGUCUAAAUGUGAAAUCUCGAUAAUCCGGCACUUCGAUGGUCCGGUGUACCCAGUAAUCCAGCGCUAAAAUUGGGGUACAAAUGAUCAUUCUGUCCGAUUUUACUAUGUUUGCAUACAUUAUCGCACUUCAAUAUCUUUAUAAAUGGCUAAGUUCCAGAUAACAGUACGAUUUUCUUUGAAUUUACUAUUUUGGUUAAAUGUAUUUCUACGACAUACUAAAAAAACACAUCAAAAUCAUAUGCAGAUAUGCUCUAACUUCCAGUAUUUUCAAGUAAUCCGUCUCUCUUGUGUCAACAUUAGUGCCGGAUUAGUGAGAUUGUACUGUAGUUUUUUUUUGUCGUAUUGGUAACUUGAAUUAAGUACUUGCUGCAUUUUUUCCCUUAAAUCAUCAACUAGGUACGAGUAUGUAGGUAGGUAUUAUAUGAUGGGCUCUUUGAUAUUUCUAAAUGUCUGGACUCUGAACAAAUGAAUUCGAUACUAAGUAUAGCAACACAAUAUUAGAUGUAUUACCUAUUUUUACUAUAUUUCCUUACAUUAUACCAAUUAUUAAGGGCUCAUCUGUUAUUCUUUAUUCCUCAGGUUGCAGAUAAAACUGUGUCUUGCGGUUCGAGACAUGCUCACAUCUCAACCUGACGUCUUCAAAAGGAAGACAGAAAAUAAUCCAUUGCGAUUGUUGUUAGAUACAAUGGAGUCGUGACGAAAGCAGUAUGAAGAAACAGAAGCAUAUCACUGCGGAAGAAGGUAGCAGCGCUCAACUAUAGCGGGGGUUUAAGAAAGAUUAUCCAAACUCCACAUAUCAGUGCAACAAUGUUGCAUUUCGUGGACGGGUCGUGUUUAUACGCAGACUAACGACCAUUUCUGUCUCUUGGGCUUAAUUAAAUUGAAAAAUUUAUGAAAGUAUACGAGUGCUUCGGGCGUUUGGCUGCAGUUUUUGCGGUACUUAUUACGUUUGGAGACGACCAAUGAGUGAGAUAAAGCUUUGAUGUACAGAAAUACUUGAACCUACUGAUCUCAUAUAUUGUGGCUAUUUAUUAUAAGUGGAAUCAAUUUAGCGUCACCUUCAGUAUGUUGGUACGCGAGCGUCGAGAGUCGAUGUACCUACGACUCAUUUACUCUUUUUAUUUCCAACGUUGCUUGUAGUGCACACACGUGUGCUUUCAUGGUCUAAGAAUAUUGUAACCUUUGAAACUUUUGUAUUUACUUUUAGAAUAGGUACCUAUUAACUUUUUUUACUGCGGAAUAUUGUUUAAAUAUGCAACAAACGUUUGUGUUUUGUAUAUCACAUGCAACUAAAAUAGUUUGUUUUAGUAGAAUGAUUUCUUGUCGUUAAUGACCUUUUAAGUAAGAAAAAUAUUACAAAAAAAUUCAACAACGAUCUUUAAGGUCUACCUGUACUAGUAACCAUACUGUAACUGUAUUCCAAAUAAAACAUUCACCUUGU
Long non-coding RNA from Cydia pomonella (codling moth), 3984 nucleotides. RefSeq lists it as uncharacterized. The record is from RefSeq and is a predicted model, not a curated record. The transcript is spliced from 4 exons. Lineage: Eukaryota; Metazoa; Arthropoda; Insecta; Lepidoptera; Tortricidae.